Molecule: ribosomal RNA, 253 nt
Filed under: uncultured bacterium
Lineage: Bacteria
Description: partial 16S ribosomal RNA
Rfam family: Bacterial small subunit ribosomal RNA
Source: RNAcentral
UACGGAGGGUGCUAGCGUUGUUCGGAAUUACUGGGCGUAAAGCGCGCGUAGGCGGCUUUGUAAGUUAGAGGUGAAAGCCCGGAGCUCAACUCCGGAAUUGCCUUUAAGACUGCAUCGCUAGAAUUGUGGAGAGGUGAGUGGAAUUCCGAGUGUAGAGGUGAAAUGCGCAGAUAUCGGGAGGAACACCUAUGGCGAAGGCAGCUCGCUGGGGCGUGACUGACGCUGAGACACGAAAGCCAGGGGAGCAAACGGG